Molecule: non-coding RNA, 890 nt
Filed under: Hemiergis peronii (lowlands earless skink)
Lineage: Eukaryota; Metazoa; Chordata; Lepidosauria; Squamata; Scincidae
Source: RNAcentral
UUCCCGAAAACAUAAAGUUUUGGUCCUAAACUUGCCAUUGUUUUUUAUCAAAAUUAUACAUGCAAGCCUCCACAAACCAGUGAGAAUGCCCACAUACCCUAAACAGCCAACCGGAGCAGGCAUCAGGAUGCAAUCAAUAUUUAGCCAAGGACGCCUUGCAUACGCCACACCCACACGGGCUUUCAGCAGUAAUUAAUAUUAAACAUGAGCGAAAGCUCGAUUUAGUUAUGAUCAACAUGGUCGGUAAAUUUCGUGCCAGCCACCGCGGUUAUACGAAAGACCAAAGACAACAGCCCACGGCGUAAAGGGUGACUAGAGAUGGAUCAAAUAAUUAAAGGGGCACAGCUGCCAAGUCGUAAAACACCACUGCACAUUAGAACCACAACAAAAUGCCUUUAAAUCCACUUUACCUCACGAAAGCUAAGAAACAAACUGGGAUUAGAUACCCCACUAUGCUUAGCCCUAAACAUAGAUAGUACAAAUACAAACUAUCCGCCAGAGAACUACAAGCGAAAGCUCGAAACUCCAAGGACUUGGCGGUGCUUCAAAUCAACCUAGAGGAGCCUGUCCUAUAAUCGAUACUCCCCGUUUUACCUUACCACUUCUAGCCAACCAGCCUAUAUACCGCCGUCGACAGCCUACCUUAUGAAAGAAAUAAAGUAAGCAAAAUAGUUAGUAACUAAUACGUCAGGUCAAGGUGUAGCACACGAAGUGGUAGAGAUGGGCUACAUUUUUUCAAAGUAAAAACACAAAUAGUAGACUGAAACACAUACUUGAAGGCGGAUUUAGUAGUAAGACAAGAAAUUAUACUCGUCUUAAACCUGCUCUGAAGCGCGCACACACCGCCCGUCACCCUCAUCACACACUACACUACACAAAAUAUAACACUA